AUAGCGGAUUCGUCCCUUGCUGUUGAAAGCAAAACUCCUAUUACUUCUUGUUCAUUGUAUUGUUUGGCUGAAUCAUGUAUUUCAAAUUAAUACUCUAUCGGCUCUAGAUGUGUACCUAUUUCGUCUUAUUUAUUGUCAAUAUUUGUCUAAUUGUAUUAUUCUUUCUUGACAUGAAUUUUUUUUAUUAAUAGAUUUUAUGUUUAAUAAUUCUAUGAACUACUUGUGCCCUUACAGGGAUGGCAAAGGGAUGGAGAGCAUGUUCCCUUCCCCAUCUUGAGUACACAAUGCGGAGGGACAUUUGGCCAUUGCUAUGCCAUUGAAAAGACCUGCAGAAUUUAAGAUGGAGUUAGACGAAAGACAAACUCAAAAAAUCAUAAAAUUCAAGCUAACUUGUAAUUUCUUAAUCACUACAUUUAGCUAAGCGGAUGUGAUGUUGAAGAAUCAACAUAUGAUUUGUGGUUAAAGAUGAAAUGUUGCUCGACCUAGAGUUUGCUAGUCCCCUCAAAAUAAGUUGAGGUGCAACACUUGAUAGGACAAUUGGCGGAUAAAACAUUGAUUUGGGGUGGCCGUGAA
This 573-nucleotide long non-coding RNA is filed under the name Olea europaea subsp. europaea. The record is from RNAcentral. Lineage: Eukaryota; Viridiplantae; Streptophyta; Magnoliopsida; Lamiales; Oleaceae.